RNAcentral lists this unclassified non-coding RNA (624 nucleotides) under Hevea brasiliensis (rubber tree). Lineage: Eukaryota; Viridiplantae; Streptophyta; Magnoliopsida; Malpighiales; Euphorbiaceae. The record is from RNAcentral.
GCCUCCGAAAUCUGUUGAGUUUGAACUUCUUGAUGCACUAGGAAUGGUAUUGUUGUCAGAUGAUGGUGGAGAAUUGAAUGAGGGUGGAGGCGGACCCAAUCUUAUCACUGGUGAUGGGGGUGAUACUCUAGUAGAAUUUAAUGGUGAAGGUGCUUGUUGAGAAGGAGGCGAAUUUGGAGUUUGCCUGGCAGGUGAGGGUACAUUACUGGGAGUAGGGGCUAUUGAUUCUGGUGGAGGAGGUGAAUUCGAGGGUGCUGUUGAUGCUGGUGGAGGUGAAUUUGCAGGACGAGGUGAACUUUUGGGAGGGGUUGAUGCUGGUGGAGGCACUGAAUUUGCUGGUGGAGGUGAACUUUUGGGAGGUGUCACAGAUACAGGUGGUGGUGGGGGUGAAUUGGUCGGCGGUGGCGAAUUUUCAGGUGGCUUUGAUGAUGGUAGAGGUGGAUUUGGUGAUGUUGGUGGAGGCGAAUUAGCUGGUGGGGUUGUUGUUGGUGGUGGUGAAGAACUUGUAGGUGGAUUGGGGGUUGGUGGUGGUGAAGUUGGAUUAGAUGGUGGUGAGGGAGGAGGUGAACUUAUGGGUGGACUGGCUGCUUGUGAAGGCGGUGGUGGAGAAUUGGAGGUUGGAGG